GACGAACGCUGGCGGCGUGCUUAAUACAUGCGAGUCGAACGGAAAGUCCCCCUUCGGGGCGUACUCGAGUGGCGAACGGGGGAGUAACACGGGAGUAACCUGCCCUUGAUAUUGUGAUAACUUCAGGAAACUGGCGCUAAGACAGGAUAGGAGCUCCUGCUUCAUGGUUGGUGCUGGAAGGUUUCGGCGGGUGGGGGUGUACUCGCGGCCUAUCAGCUUGUGGGUGGGGGAGUGGCUGACCAAGGCUUUGAGGGGUAGCCGGCCUGUGAGAGUGACCGGCGGCACUGGGACUGAGGGACGGCCCCAGCUCCUACGGGACGCCAAUGGGGGGAAUAUUGCCCGAUGGGUGCCAGCCUGGUGCAGCAACGCCGUGGGCGGGAUGACGGUCUUCUUGUUGUAAAACGCGUUCGCUCAUAACGAAGCUUUGUGUGACGGUAGUGGGUAAAGAAGCACCGGCUAACUACGUG
RNAcentral lists this ribosomal RNA (467 nucleotides) under uncultured bacterium. Its description in RNAcentral is "partial 16S ribosomal RNA". It matches the Rfam family "Bacterial small subunit ribosomal RNA", at positions 28 to 507 of the family's 1533-position model. The record is from RNAcentral.